AUAAAGUAAAAAAUGUUCACUUAUAUAAAUCUAGUAAUAAGGGCUAGAUGUUUCUACCGAACUACCAUAAAUAGUUCUACUAUAAGUGGGAAAGCUAAUACA
This is a regulatory RNA element of Clostridium cadaveris, 102 nucleotides long. It matches the Rfam family "Purine riboswitch aptamer". From Rfam's summary of the family: Riboswitches are metabolite binding domains within certain messenger RNAs that serve as precision sensors for their corresponding targets. Allosteric rearrangement of mRNA structure is mediated by ligand binding, and this results in modulation of gene expression. A class of riboswitches that selectively recognises guanine and becomes saturated at concentrations as low as 5 nM. NCBI's taxonomy places the organism in Bacteria, Bacillati, Bacillota, Clostridia, Eubacteriales, Clostridiaceae. The record is from Rfam.